Molecule: ribosomal RNA, 410 nt
Filed under: uncultured Methylomirabilota bacterium
Lineage: Bacteria; Methylomirabilota (SeqCode)
Description: bacterial SSU rRNA
Rfam family: Bacterial small subunit ribosomal RNA
Source: RNAcentral
AGCGUGGAGACAGGUGGUGCAUGGCUGUCGUCAGCUCGCGUCGUGAGAUGUUGGGUUAAGUCCCGCAACGAGCGCAACCCUCACCUCUUGUUGCCAUCAGGUCAUGCUGGGCACUCUAGAGGAACUGCCCCGGUCAACGGGGAGGAAGGCGGGGAUGACGUCAAGUUAUCAUGCCCCUUACGUCCUGGGCUACACACGUGCUACAAUGGCCGGUACAAAGGGAUGCCACACCGCGAGGUAGAGCUAAACCCAAAAAGCCGGUCUAAGUUCAGAUUGGAGUCUGCAACUCGACUCCAUGAAGGAGGAAUCGCUAGUAAUCGCGUAUCAGCACGACGCGGUGAAUACGUUCCCGGGCCUUGUACACACCGCCCGUCACACCACGAAAGCCUGCUGUACUCGAAGUCGCUGAG